UUGAAGAGUUUGAUCAUGGCUCAGAUUGAACGCUGGCGGCAGGCCUAACACAUGCAAGUCGAGCGGUAGCACAGAGAGCUUGCUCUCGGGUGACGAGCGGCGGACGGGUGAGUAAUGUCUGGGAAACUGCCUGAUGGAGGGGGAUAACUACUGGAAACGGUAGCUAAUACCGCAUAAUGUCGCAAGACCAAAGUGGGGGACCUUCGGGCCUCAUGCCAUCAGAUGUGCCCAGAUGGGAUUAGCUAGUAGGUGGGGUAACGGCUCACCUAGGCGACGAUCCCUAGCUGGUCUGAGAGGAUGACCAGCCACACUGGAACUGAGACACGGUCCAGACUCCUACGGGAGGCAGCAGUGGGGAAUAUUGCACAAUGGGCGCAAGCCUGAUGCAGCCAUGCCGCGUGUGUGAAGAAGGCCUUCGGGUUGUAAAGCACUUUCAGCGGGGAGGAAGGCGUUAAGGUUAAUAACCUUGGCGAUUGACGUUACCCGCAGAAGAAGCACCGGCUAACUCCGUGCCAGCAGCCGCGGUAAUACGGAGGGUGCAAGCGUUAAUCGGAAUUACUGGGCGUAAAGCGCACGCAGGCGGUCUGUCAAGUCGGAUGUGAAAUCCCCGGGCUCAACCUGGGAACUGCAUUCGAAACUGGCAGGCUAGAGUCUUGUAGAGGGGGGUAGAAUUCCAGGUGUAGCGGUGAAAUGCGUAGAGAUCUGGAGGAAUACCGGUGGCGAAGGCGGCCCCCUGGACAAAGACUGACGCUCAGGUGCGAAAGCGUGGGGAGCAAACAGGAUUAGAUACCCUGGUAGUCCACGCCGUAAACGAUGUCGAUUUGGAGGUUGUGCCCUUGAGGCGUGGCUUCCGGAGCUAACGCGUUAAAUCGACCGCCUGGGGAGUACGGCCGCAAGGUUAAAACUCAAAUGAAUUGACGGGGGCCCGCACAAGCGGUGGAGCAUGUGGUUUAAUUCGAUGCAACGCGAAGAACCUUACCUGGUCUUGACAUCCACAGAACUUUCCAGAGAUGGAUUGGUGCCUUCGGGAACUGUGAGACAGGUGCUGCAUGGCUGUCGUCAGCUCGUGUUGUGAAAUGUUGGGUUAAGUCCCGCAACGAGCGCAACCCUUAUCCUUUGUUGCCAGCGGUUAGGCCGGGAACUCAAAGGAGACUGCAAGUGAUAAACUGGAGGAAGGUGGGGAUGACGUCAAGUCAUCCCUACGACCGACGGGGCUACACGUGCUACAAUGGCAUAUACAAAGAGAACGCGAGCAAGCGGACCUCAUAAAGUAUGUCGUAGUCCGGAUUGAGUCUGCAACUCGACUCCAUGAAGUCGGAAUCGCUAGUAAUCGUAGAUCAGAAUGCUACGGUGAAUACGUUCCCGGGCCUUGUACACACCGCCCGUCACACCAUGGGAGUGGGUUGCAAAAGAAGUAGGUAGCUUAACCUUCGGGAGGGCGCUUACCACUUUGUGAUUCAUGACUGGGGUGAAGUCGUAACAAGGUAACCGUAGGGGAACCUGCGGUUGGAUCACCUCCUU
Molecule: ribosomal RNA, 1521 nt
Filed under: Klebsiella pneumoniae
Lineage: Bacteria; Pseudomonadati; Pseudomonadota; Gammaproteobacteria; Enterobacterales; Enterobacteriaceae
Description: bacterial SSU rRNA
Rfam family: Bacterial small subunit ribosomal RNA
Source: RNAcentral